CGUAGCAAUGCUACGUCUUACAUAGUGGCGGACGGGUGAGUAACACGUGAGAAUCUGCCUUCAGGACGGGGAUAACAGUAGGAAACCACUGCUAAUACCGGAUAAGCCGAAAGGUGAAAGAUUUAUUGCCAGAAGAGGAGCUCGCGUCUGAUUAGCUAGAUGGGGAGGUAAAAGCUCACCAUGGCGACGAUCAGUAGCUGGUCUGAGAGGAUGAGCAGCCACACUGGGACUGAGACACGGCCCAGACUCCUACGGGAGGCAGCAGUGGGGAAUUUUCCGCAAUGGGCGCAAGCCUGACGGAGCAAUACCGCGUGAGGGAGGAAGGCUUUUGGGUUGUAAACCUCAAAAAUUAGGGAAGAAGAAAGUGACGGUACCUAAUCUAAGCAUCGGCUAACUCCGUGCCAGCAGCCGCGGUAAUACG
This 421-nucleotide ribosomal RNA is filed under the name uncultured bacterium. RNAcentral describes it as "bacterial SSU rRNA". It matches the Rfam family "Bacterial small subunit ribosomal RNA", at positions 73 to 527 of the family's 1533-position model. The record is from RNAcentral.